CGGUUCAAGUUCCUGGUAAGAGCCAUAGGUGCCCAAUUGUCGUCGACUUUCAGAAGCACCAUACUUUCCCUCUGAAACCGAUCAAUGAAAUCUCGGAGUGACUCUGUCCUUCUUUAUACGAUUUUGAAGAUAUAUUCCACCUUUUGUGCUCUGGACUAGGCUUUGAUAAAAGCAUCUGCAAGUUCAACAAAAGAAUUGAUAAAAUGUUCAAGUAAAUGUUUGUAUCAUGUUAAAGUCCCUUUGGCCAAAGUCUCCCCAAAUCUUUUGAUAAGCAUCAAUCUGAUCUCCUUCUUUAUGAGGGAGUUCCCUUUGAUCCUGGUCAUCCCUGGUACCGUCUUAUUUCAAAAUUUCUAGCAUUUUUAAUUUCUUCAAAAUCGACAACGAAGUCGCACUAGGCUUCCAUGGUUAUUGGGAAUAUUUAUCCACGUCAAUCCCUUUUACGACAGACAGGACUCCUAGGAUCUGCUCAAUCCUCUCCUUUUGUUCCUUAAGCUAUUGCUGAAAGGUUAGAAUUAUAUUUUGUAACUUAGCAUUUACAAUCACAUAUGAACCUCCGGAUUCGUCUUUGUUUUAAUGUUCUCGAGCUGCUGUGUGCAGCAUUUUGGAAUUAGGGGUUUGUUCUCGGUGGCGGAGUAGGUGUUACAAUAGUUGCUCCGCUCGUUAAGGCCAACAAUGCUUCUUUGCAUUUGGCGUUCGGCUUAUGUUCCUUCAUCAUAAAAAAUUUCACCAUCUCCUCCAAACCACAAUCAUUAGGGCGGCUGCUAGUGGAUCAUAUCUGGGUCAUUGAUAAGUUGGUAUUUUACCAACUUAUCUCUUCUUUAUACUUAGCUUUUGUAUGAUUUUGUUGAGAAACUAAGGCAUUUAUUGAGGUUUAUUGGCACAUUUCAGGUAUCAAGUGAUUAAGAGAAGAUACAAAAGAAAACAAGUCAAAAUGUGUUAAAAAGGGAAAAAUUAACUGCUGCCAGUGAAUGCUUUUCGUGAUCGCGGAGAAUUCCAUGCGGUCGCGUAAUUUUAGCAGUUAAGCCAUCGCAAAUGCAGUAGAAGUCAUGCGACCGCGAAGAAGUAAAGCUGGACAACCACUUGUCAAACUUUCUACGCGAACGCGUAUCUUGCUCGGCGAUUGUGUAGCUUUGCAGAAGUUGGUCACCACAAUUGCGGUUCUUGUUUCGCGAUCACAUAGCACAUUAAAUGGACAGAUUCCAGGCAGAAAUGAAAUUUCACGUUUUUGAUCCCCAAGCUAUUCAAUACAUGACCUAGCUUAUUAGAAAUACAUCUUUGGCUUAUUUUUCAGUAUCUUCACUAAGAGAAACAAUCUUGGGAGCUAGGGUCUAACACACACACUUGGGACUUGAAGAUUUGAAGCUCUUGGCUGAGAAUUUCUUAUCCAUUUAUGUUCAUUUCUUUAUAUCCAUGCUUUGUAUUGAAUAUUUAAGUGUGUAGUAUUUUUUUCAAUGAUUGAAUCUUGUUUAUAGGACUAUUCAUAUUUAAAGUGUAGAUUAAAUAUCUUGUUGUGCUUAUGUAUUGAAUGAUUUUUGUAAAUAUUGAAGUGAGUUUAUAUUUCUUUAA
Molecule: long non-coding RNA, 1566 nt
Filed under: Nicotiana tabacum (common tobacco)
Lineage: Eukaryota; Viridiplantae; Streptophyta; Magnoliopsida; Solanales; Solanaceae
Description: long non-coding RNA (NTAB_LNC008879)
Source: RNAcentral